Molecule: long non-coding RNA, 2534 nt
Organism: Vitis vinifera (wine grape)
Lineage: Eukaryota; Viridiplantae; Streptophyta; Magnoliopsida; Vitales; Vitaceae
Exons: 5
Source: RefSeq, a predicted model, not a curated record
GAAGCUCUUGUUUCCUGUCGUUCUCAGUCUCAUCGCCCCCUAAAGUAAUGUCCCCCAACCCCUCAUCAAAUUCUAGAAUCUUGAUCACGUUUAAUGUCGAAAAGUGUAGCAGCUGUGUAUCACCACGUCGUCCAAGAUGUUGGCAAAAAUUGCAAGUCCUAGGCCCGCGACCAGUCCAUCCUCUGCGAACCUCGAGCGCUUAUGAUGAAGGGAGAAGGAAGGAUGAAUAUCUGAACCACAACCUCCUAUGAAGGAUUUUCACCAUUCCUCCGAGGAAAAAGAAGUGGGAAGAUCAUCCUUCAGAUUUCUUCCAAAGGGAUAUAUACUCAAUAAGAUGGAUCAGGCAAUGUUUCUCCAGACUGCCCUCCUCUUCAGAAGGUCACAGUAGUCCUUCAAUCUCUUUAUUUUUAACAGUAAGUUAUGGCUAUAUGAAUAUUGGUGUAUUUCAAUAUUGCUUUAUAAAAAUGAGCUGAGAAUCCAUGAUCUGCAUUUUGCCAGGUAAUGAAGCAUUAUAUUGAAAUUAUAAAAUUUGUACUAGCCUGUAUUUUAUCUUCGUAUGCAACUGCUUGACAUACAAAGUAUUAAUCUUGUUACCAUAUUUUCCUUAUGUGCUAUGAUUUUUACACAUUCUCAUGUAGUUGAACAGUCUUUUGAGCAGUGACUUGCUUUUUUUUCCUCAACUAUAAAAUCUUGAAUCAUCUGAUUUCAUGUUCUUUGCAAGUGUACGACUGUGUGAUUAUUUUAUGCUUUAGAAGGCAAUAACAUAACUUCAUAUAAUAUGUAUUAUUCAGGAAGUGUGAAACUGCAGUUAAUUAUCAGUUAAUAGUUUUGUUUUCAUACUAAAUGAAUUAACCUUCUCUUCUCUCUCUACAUGAUAAGCUUUUGAUGCAUUCUCACAUACUUGACCAAUCUUUUAGGCAGUAACUUGCAUUUCUUUCCUCAAAUAUAAAAUCUUGGAUCAUCUGAUUUCAUGGAUUUUCCAGUUUUUAAUGUCUGAUGAUUUCAAGUUUUUAGAAGGUUAUAAUAUAAAUUCAUAUUUUUCUUUUAAUUUGAUCUCUAUCUCUAUCUCUACCGCUCGUCAUUUUUCCAAUAUACAAACAUCCAUAAUUUCUUAAAAAAAAAUCUGGUAAAUAGCCUCUACUUCUAAAUUUAGAAAGCCUGAAAAUAAAUGGAUUGUAUUUACCAUGUAAGAACUUUUUAUUUUUUAUUUUUUUUAUCUGCUUUUAAUGCUUUGCAACUAAUGUGCUUCGAUUGCAAUGGAAUGUGAUGGUACUGCUAAAUUUGUACUUUUAAAUGCUUCUGAUUUGCAGACUCCUACAACAAAGAACUUUUUAAUUGAUGCUCAUGCUAAAUGUGAUGAUGGUGCUAAAUUUGUAAUUUAAAAUGCUUCUGACUCACUGGUUCCUAUGACAAAGAACUUGUUAAUUGAUGCUCAUAAGUUCAACAAAGAGACAAAGUUGAUGCUUCAAUUCCUUCAACAAUUAAAACGAAGAAGGGUUUUCUACCAAUUCUACAAUCUGAUGGAUUUGCCAAUUUUUAUGAAGAUAUUACCUGAGCUGAAGACCACAACAACCUUCUUGCUAUGGGAAAAAAAUUGUAGUAGUUGGUUUCUUCUUGGCUCUUGCUUUAUGUUUUCUCCCUUCUGAACGCUUUUUGAAAUAGCAUACCCGAAGAUGAUGCUUACAUAGAAUAUUUUACCUUCUUACAGAUAUAUGUGGAAACUCUUAAGCCACCUAAAGCUAAAGCCAUAUAAGAUUAUCAAACACCUCUGAAUGAGUAGAAUGAUGAUGAUGAUGAUUUGGAUCAUCUGAGGAAGGGAGAUCGAGAACCCAGUAUGCAUGUUCUGGUAUUGUCCCUAUUUGAAAAGGUGUUUGUUUUACAAUACAUUUUCUUGUCAAAUCGUUGAGAAUGCCUUCUGGUGCAUACUACUGAUUAGUUGAUUGUAAAAUCAGACAAUAUCACUGUUUAAAAUUGGCAUUGUGCAUCUCUUUCAUAUGUGGUACGAUUUGUUGGUAACAAAUUUGGCAUUUGUGCAGGUAACUAUAACAGAUGGAAGUGUUUUCCCUAGGAUGGCAUAGUGCCCUUGAAUGAUAAGGACAUAUUGUUCAUGAAGGUGUGUCUUAAUUUCUCUCAUAAUCUGCUAUGACUUUCUGCCUGAACAAAUUUACUGGUCAAAUUGUCUGAGAUCUAGGGAAAAAGUUCUUAGAAUCCUGAUCAAAUGCAUUCAAUUUAUACAAAUUGAAAUUACACUCGACUUCUGAGUGAUUUUGGAAGUUUUUUUCAAAAUAUACGAGUUCAGUGACUGUAAAAGAGAGUAAAUGGAAAAAAGUAUUGAAUGAGGUCCUAAUUCUAUAAGUGGCAACUUGACAUUUAUGUUUGUUAGCUUCAAGAUGCUUCCCACUUGUUAGAUUUUGUGGCAACAUUUGUAUUAGGUCAGUGCGUUUUGAUUUGAUUUAAAAGGAUUAUUCACUUGAGUUUUUAUGGCUUCAAUAAUGUACAAGCUCAUGAGAAAGUGAAGCCUUAAGGAGUUUCGG